AACGAACGCUGGCGGCAGGCCUAACACAUGCAAGUCGAGCGGACCCUUCGGGGUUAGCGGCGGACGGGUGAGUAACGCGUGGGAAUAUGCCCUUCUCUACGGAAUAGUCCUGGGAAACUGGGGGUAAUACCGUAUACGCCCUUUGGGGGAAAGAUUUAUCGGGGAAGGAUUAGCCCGCGUUGGAUUAGGUAGUUGGUGGGGUAAUGGCCUACCAAGCCGACGAUCCAUAGCUGGUUUGAGAGGAUGAUCAGCCACACUGGGACUGAGACACGGCCCAGACUCCUACGGGAGGCAGCAGUGGGGAAUCUUAGACAAUGGGGGCAACCCUGAUCUAGCCAUGCCGCGUGAGUGGUGAAGGCCUUAGGGUUGUAAAGCUCUUUCAGCUGGGAAGAUAAUGACGGUACCAGCAGAAGAAGCCCCGGCUAACUCCGUG
This 433-nucleotide ribosomal RNA is filed under the name uncultured bacterium. Its description in RNAcentral is "partial 16S ribosomal RNA". It matches the Rfam family "Bacterial small subunit ribosomal RNA", at positions 29 to 507 of the family's 1533-position model. The record is from RNAcentral.